RNAcentral lists this ribosomal RNA (258 nucleotides) under uncultured bacterium. Its description in RNAcentral is "partial 16S ribosomal RNA". It matches the Rfam family "Bacterial small subunit ribosomal RNA", at positions 96 to 354 of the family's 1533-position model. The record is from RNAcentral.
UGGCGGACGGGUGAGUAACGCGUGGGCAACCUGGCCUGUACAGGGGGAUAACACUUAGAAAUAGGUGCUAAUACCGCAUAACGGGGGAAGCCGCAUGGCUUUUCCCUGAAAACUCCGGUGGUACAGGAUGGGCCCGCGUCUGAUUAGCCAGUUGGCAGGGUAACGGCCUACCAAAGCGACGAUCAGUAGCCGGCCUGAGGAGGGCGGACGGCCACACUGGGACUGAGACACGGCCCAGACUCCUACGGAAGGCAGCAG